GCAGGGGAACUGGAGGUAUCCUUGGGGAUGACAUUGGUCUCGGCAAGACCAUGCAGGUUUCUGCCUUCCUGGCUGGAUUAUUCCAUUGCCGCUUAAUCAAGAGAGUGUUGGUGGUUGCGCCAAAGACACUUCUCACUCAUUGGACGAAGGAACUUUCAGUUGUCGGCCUCAAACAUAAGAUUAGGGAUUACUCUAGGCCCA
Triticum aestivum (bread wheat) is the source of this 201-nucleotide long non-coding RNA. RefSeq lists it as uncharacterized. Lineage: Eukaryota; Viridiplantae; Streptophyta; Magnoliopsida; Poales; Poaceae. The transcript has 3 exons. The record is from RefSeq and is a predicted model, not a curated record.